Tyto alba (common barn owl) is the source of this 360-nucleotide long non-coding RNA. RefSeq lists it as uncharacterized. The record is from RefSeq and is a predicted model, not a curated record. Lineage: Eukaryota; Metazoa; Chordata; Aves; Strigiformes; Tytonidae. The transcript has 3 exons.
CUGUUUAAAUCUGCAACAUUGCCUGAGUCAAGAAUCCUAUGGAGAAUGCCCAGCUACUAUUUUUUAUUGAAAGAAGCAGAUGCUUUAAAGCAGCUUCUUGCUUUGUGGUUCUAGGAUGCAAAUCUGGGAGAACUGAAGAACUUCAGAGAUUUGAGAAGGUGUUUGAAUUCCUAGGGUCAAAGGAAAGCUGAGAUGCAUGACGUUUUGAUGCCUCAAAGGCUGCAGCACUAUGAAAAGUUACCUCUUUGUCAAAGACAGGGAGUUGCAGUGAUUCUAUGAUGACUUCUCUAACAGUGGAAAGACUGGGAAUAUGUAAGGAAUGGGUCAAGACAAGAGAAGAAAGAUUUCCCUGUUAAAACA